CUUGCUGUAAUUGCGGCUGAAGCGGCGGUGAGAAACCAAUAAUGUAGCAGAGGAAAUGUACGGAGGAGAGGUGGAAUUCGCAUUUUUUCGGUUUCACGUACAGACGGUUUUCGAGAAGGCGCUGGAGAACUUGCCGUACGUGUUCCGUUCCAAGCUUGACAGUGAUCCAGGGCAGUCUCCUCAUCAAGCCAAGUCUGGAUCUACUCUGCAGCAGGGAGCAGCAACACUUGGCCGCAACACAAGCUCGAAAGCCCUCUUUUGAGCACCAAAAGCUCAAGCAGCCUGCCCAGGAACCUGGCUGCCACCCUGCAGAGCAUUGAGACCAAAAGGCAGCUCGGUCUGCAGCAAAAAGGUCAACAGGUGAUUGAAGAGCAGCGACGUCGUCUGGCUGAGCUAAAGCAGAGAGCAGCGGCAGAAGCUCAGUGCCAGUGGGAGGCGCUCCAUAGCUUGCAGCCUCAACUCAUCAACCCCACGCCCUCCUACUCCCUAGUCAUGUCCUACAGUCCCACACUGAGUCACAGGUCUACAGGCCACCAUCCUCUGGUCCAACACUCCAUCCUACACCACCAUCCAGCAUCAGCCGGAGAGCAGCCCUACGACACGUUGAGUCUGGAGAGCUCUGACAGUAUGGACACCAGUGUGUCCACGGGGAACAACUUCGCCUGCUCACCAGAUAAUUUAUCCAGGCAGUGGGGGCCGGAGGUUCUGAACAAUGGCGUAAAGACCGUCAGCCGCAUACAUCGCGAAGCGAGGAGGAGAGAGAGAAAAAAUAAUCUGGCUGUGGCUGCCAAGGCAGCACCUCGGCAGCCACAGCCUGGUUGACUGCUUCGCCCUCCUCCUUCUCCUCGAUUAACGGCCUGCUGAAUUUCCAUUUUGAAGCCUGAUUUCACCGACAUAAUUUCUUUGUCCAUCUUGUUAACAAGCCUUUUUUCUGUGAUGUGUCAAAAUGUAAGGCAUUUUUUUGGUCUGUUUGGUUUCACUUUAAAUAUACUGAUGAAUUUGAUUUUUUGAAUAGAGCUUUGCUAAUGUUAAAAAGAACAAAAGAGUGAUACAAUUUCUCUUCAUAAAGGGGAAUAAAGUUGAAUAUGUUUCAUAAGCAAAAAUGGUUUCCUACACUUUCUGUUCAUGUUUUGGUCUGGUAUGGUCAGUGGCAGUUCUAGCAUGAAUGGGGCCCUGUGUGAGACCCUCUUUGUCCCCCACCAAAACACACAUACCAAAACACAAAAACACACUGGAGUGAAUAAAGCAACAGCAAAGAAUAAUUGAAAUGAAGGAAAUGGAGAAUUAUAGCAACAUACAUUUUACAUUGCACAAAGGAAACAAAAACCUAAGGGAACGUUAUUGCAAAUAAAGAAUAAUUUUGAAUUUGUUUCCUAGUAUGUU
Phyllopteryx taeniolatus (common seadragon) is the source of this 1383-nucleotide long non-coding RNA. RefSeq lists it as uncharacterized. The transcript is spliced from 5 exons. NCBI's taxonomy places the organism in Eukaryota, Metazoa, Chordata, Actinopteri, Syngnathiformes, Syngnathidae. The record is from RefSeq and is a predicted model, not a curated record.